UACAGAGGUCUCAAGCGUUGUUCGGAUUCAUUGGGCGUAAAGGGUGCGUAGGUGGCGUCGUAAGUCAGGUGUGAAAUCUCGGAGCUUAACUCCGAAACUGCAUUGAUACUGCGGUGCUUGAGGACUGGAGGAGGAGACUGGAAUUUACGGUGUAGCAGUGAAAUGCGUAGAGAUCGUAAGGAAGACCAGUGGCGAAGGCGGGUCUCGUGGACAGUUCCUGACACUGAGGCACGAAGGCCAGGGGAGCAAACGGG
RNAcentral lists this ribosomal RNA (254 nucleotides) under uncultured bacterium. Its description in RNAcentral is "partial 16S ribosomal RNA". It matches the Rfam family "Bacterial small subunit ribosomal RNA", at positions 524 to 776 of the family's 1533-position model. The record is from RNAcentral.